UACAGAGGUCCCAAGCGUUGUUCGGAUUCACUGGGCGUAAAGGGUGCGUAGGUGGUUAGGUAAGUCUGAUGUGAAAUCUCUGGGCUCAACCCAGAAACUGCAUUGGAUACUAUCUAGCUAGAGGAGUGGAGGGGGGACUGGAAUACUUGGUGUAGCAGUGAAAUGCGUAGAUAUCAAGUGGAACACCAGUGGCGAAGGCGAGUCCCUGGACACUUCCUGACACUGAGGCACGAAAGCUAGGGGAGCAAACAGG
RNAcentral lists this ribosomal RNA (253 nucleotides) under uncultured bacterium. RNAcentral describes it as "partial 16S ribosomal RNA". It matches the Rfam family "Bacterial small subunit ribosomal RNA", at positions 524 to 776 of the family's 1533-position model. The record is from RNAcentral.